UCAGGAAACUGCCAUUGAGAGAUCUAAUGAUUGCAGACUGUUGUGUCAGAUAAACUUGUUGGAUACAUGAUAAUAUCCAGUUGUCAGGAGAGACUGUGACUAUGGAUAUAAAAGCUCUAAGUUAUACCUAAUGAAGGGUAAGCAUGAAGGUUACUAGAGGGCAUUAGGGGCACCAGCAAGCGUCAACAACCCUGGGAAAAAUUGAACCAAUGGCCGUCUUUGUUGUUUUCAGGCGUCUGUAACCACUGAUGAAGAUGUGAAACUUUCUCAAUAUAAAACUAAAGAAAAUAAGUUGAAACAAGCAUAGGAAGUACUUUAGAAAAGAUAAUCGCAAAGGGCAUUACAGCGCAUAAUUACCGUUGAAAAUAUUGAAGUAAUGAUCGUCUUUGUUUUCGUUUUCAGGCAUCUGUGAUGAAGAAUUUGCGCUGAGAAAUAUAAAACUUGAAAAUAAACUGAAACAGAGAGAAGAAUAAAGAAUUUAAAGAAAAAAAAAGAGAAAGUGACACAGCACACGUCAACUUUGUAGUAUAUUAGUUAAGGGAGAGAACAAAUGGUAAAAAGCCAGCCAGUUGAAGUAGCCAGCACAGGGCAGUCAAGACUCCUGGUGUAUCGUGAUUACUUUUAAGUUUUCUCCUUUUAAUGUUAUUUUACAAAUAUUUUGUGUUGUCAUAUAAAACCUCCUACAUGGUGCUUAAAUAACAUAUCAAGAGUUCUCGUUUUACUGCUGGAAACACAUUUGUUGAAGUACCACUGUUUAUUAGUAGAAUGACUGCCAGAAACAAAGUGAACUAAUCGUUACUGUAUUAUAACCAAUUACAGACUAUAUUCACAUAAUGACCAUAAUGUUGAUGGUAAUACAAAGGUUAUGAGGUCAUCCCAUAUCAUGUUAUCCCCUAGAAGACACGACAGCAAGCUAUUCUUGAGUUCACAUUGACAGUAAAGUGGGCAGGAGAGGGAUGCUGGUGUGCCUGAGAAGGCUGUGACUGUGGUGCUGUGCUUGCGGAGGUUUGUGGCAAGCAGUAGGACUGCACUGAGCACAGAAGAGAAUGGGAAGUGCCUCAUCUAAGUUCAAGAAAUAUCUUCAACAUGGCGACGAAUUUGCUGCUAUGCAGGUGUUUCAGAGUUCUCCUGAAUUGCGUUCCAAUCUUGAUCCCAGUGCCAGCUAUGGGGAAUCUCAUGGCCACAACACUCCCUUGCACUAUGCAGCCAAACAUGGAAUGAAACAUUUAUUAAGGACCUUUCUCUGUGAUCUCGGUGGCAAUCCAAACAAGAAAAAUGCAGAUGACGAAAGUUCUGUUCAUUGUGUGUGUCGUGUCGGCCAAGCAAAAUCACCUUCAGCUGAGGACAGACGAGCUGCAUGUGUCGUUAUGAUACUUCAGUGGCGUGGACCAGUACUGCAGGAUGGAGAGAAGGAGAGAGCACAGUUAAAUGCACAAGAUAAGAAGGGGAAUACAGCACUCCACUAUGCGUCGGCAUCAGGUCUUCGGAAGUGUGUGGAAUUACUGGUGGCUCAGGGAGCUGGACUUUUUAUUGAAAACCGUGAUAGACUGACACCUUGUGAUCUGGCUGUUAGAUCAACACAUCAUGACGUGGCUACUUAUUUAGAAUCACGCAUGGUGUUUGCUGACAGUAGUGAUGGGGUUAAUGAGGGGGAGCUGGUUGGCAACGAGGUCGAGACUGAAUGUGACAACGAGGUAUACUCUGGUCUGCGAGCACAAGACUUACAAGAAGCAAAAGACCAAUUGUUGGUUGAGACAGCAGACAUGCUGCAUAUUCCACUCUUUACUGCCGAGGCUCUACUCAGGGAUAAUGAAUGGUCUAAGGCAUUGCUCUUGGAAAAAUGGAUGACAAAUGCUGUUCAAUGCUGUGAAGAAGCAGGCAUAGCACCUCCAGCAUCUGCUCUCCAACUUGUUGCUCCCACUCCUCCAAUGAUCACUCCAUCCCCCCCCAACUCUGUCAUUACACCUCCCCCACCUCCACAUAUUCCAGGGGAAAGCAUUGAGGAAGAUGAAGAUGUGGAGGGAGAGGGACAAAACCUGUGUGAAAUCUGUUAUGGAGAGAUGAGAGCCUGGGAGCUGGGGGAACAUGGAGGCACAAGUUGCCAGCACCAGUUUUGUGCCACGUGCUGGGAGAGUUACCUCACUCUCAAGAUCCAGGAGGGCGGGGCACACCAUAUCCUCUGUCCGGCCGUCCGUUGUAAUAUUCUAGUGGAUGUAGAUUUUAUUGAAAAGAUGGUUAGUCCAGAGAUAGCAAGAAAAUACUUGCAAUUUGACAUUCAAGCAUUUGUUGAUAGAAACAAGACAAUCAAAUGGUGCCCACUUCCGGGCUGUGGCAGAGCUGUUAAGUUCCCAGAAGCUGAGCUUGAAACACAACCAUUUUAUUUUCCCAAUACUAAACCUCCUCCCAAAACAUCCCAUGCUGUUGACUGUGGCAAUGGCCAUUUUUUUUGCUGGGAGUGUUUAGGUGAAGCUCAUUCACCUUCGGGCUGUGAGCAGUGGAUUGAAUGGCAGAGCAAAGUGGCAGAGAUCAAGCCUGAAGAACUACGUAUAAGUUCAGGUGAAACAGAAGAUGCUGCCAACUUCCUUUGGCUUGUAACCAAUUCAAAGCCAUGCCCAAAUUGCAAGAGUCCAAUUCAGAAGAAUGAGGGAUGCAAUCACAUGAAGUGCUCCAAGUGUAAAUUUGACUUCUGCUGGGUGUGUCUGGAGAGCUGGAAGAAGCACUCCUCAGCUACUGGUGGAUACUUCCGAUGCAACAGAUUUGAUGCUCAGAGCAAAGCUGAUGAAAAGCUGGGAGUAUUGCUUUCUGAAGCCACUGUUCGGAAUCAUCAGAUGCAAGAAUUGAAUCGUUUUAUUCACUAUUACACCCGAUUUAAAAACCACCAAAAUUCCUUGAAAAUGGAAGAGCCUUUAUUAAAAACUGCACGUGACAAGAUGGAGGUCCUGGCCACUUCCCUCCCAUCCCAGGAGCAACAAGGACAAGCGGCAGUAGAAAAGGGCACUCGAUUUGUUGAAGAAGGAGUGAAGGAGUUACUGAAGGCCCGAAGAGUACUCUGUGGGUCUUAUGUGUAUGGAUAUUAUUUAGAGGAUAAUGGCUAUAAUAAAACCAUCUUUGAGUAUAUGCAGAAUGAAUUAGAGGAGGUAACGGAGAAGCUGUCGGAAAUGGUGGCUCGUCAGUAUCUUGUGACACCUCGUGGGCAAAUCAUUGCCACCACCUUACUUGCUCGUCGCAGGAGACAUAAAUUUGUACGGGCAGUGAGUAGGGGUCUUUUACCCCCUGAAACUCCGCCUUCGCUUCGUAGAUCACGCAAGAGACGAUUGCCUGGCCUUAUGGGAAUGGACCCAGCUGAUGAUAUGGAGAAUGUUGAAGCCAUGGGCAGAGCUUUGGAUCCCUCUCAACCAUGGGUGAAGGACUCACGUGGCCGCCACACCAAUUUGGCUGCACUAUUAGACUGGCCAGAUCUUGAUUCUGAUGAAGAGGACAGUAGUCUGAACCAGGCACUGACUCUGACUCUUCUGGGGAAGUGCAACAGAAAGACUUGCCCCAGACCUCGUGCCCGUAACCCUCGCACUGGAGCUAUCCAUGAUUACUGCUCCUUGCGAUGUGCCCAGCAAGCCAAGUAUCUUCCAGAGCAAGGUGAUGGAGAGACUUCAUCUUGGGAAGGAUGCGAUUCCAGUAUGGAACUUCUUAUUGCCCUUGAAAUGUCUCGGCUCCAAAUGAUUGAAGACGAGGCCAGGAGAAGACUGUCGUGGCUGCAGGAGCAUUCCAGAGAACAAGGAUGGGAUGGAACUGGGGAUCCCAGGAGUAUUCAGGGGCGCAGUGAUGGUGCUAGUGGACCAGGAGCAACUCUAGCAAGUAGCAUUCUUGGGUAUGAGGUAUCAUACUGUGGUAGCAGGGUGACAGGAGGCCAGGACGAAGCCUCUGCAUGGCCGUGCCCUGAUGUAUCGGAAGGGGCAACUUCCUACCAGCCAACAAGUGCUGAAAUUGCAGUGGAUUACUUCCUAAAGAAAUUAGCCAACAAAGAGAUCAGCUUAAGUGCUUUGUUUCCAAGCACGAACAGCUGAAUGUCUUCACCCUCCCUCACAGUGUUGCCAAUGCUCUCUAUCUCUCACGCACCUCUACUGUCACUGCUGAAGAUGGUUGGUGCUUACCACAACAACUUCAGCACUUACCGAAUCUCAAUGUGGACAAGGACUGGGAUAAUAAAACAGAUAAGGAUCUCUUGUGUUUUCCA
RNAcentral lists this unclassified non-coding RNA (4231 nucleotides) under Homarus americanus (American lobster). RNAcentral describes it as "ankyrin repeat and IBR domain-containing protein 1- like, transcript variant X3". Lineage: Eukaryota; Metazoa; Arthropoda; Malacostraca; Decapoda; Nephropidae. The record is from RNAcentral.